AGAAGCGAAAGUGACGGUACCUGCAGAAGAAGCACCGGCUAACUACGUGCCAGCAGCCGCGGUAAUACGUAGGGUGCGAGCGUUAUCCGGAAUUAUUGGGCGUAAAGAGCUCGUAGGCGGUUUGUCGCGUCUGUCGUGAAAGUCCGGGGCUUAACCCCGGAUCUGCGGUGGGUACGGGCAGACUAGAGUGCAGUAGGGGAGACUGGAAUUCCUGGUGUAGCGGUGGAAUGCGCAGAUAUCAGGAGGAACACCGAUGGCGAAGGCAGGUCUCUGGGCUGUAACUGACGCUGAGGAGCGAAAGCAUGGGGAGCGAACAGGAUUAGAUACCCUGGUAGUCCAUGCCGUAAACGUUGGGCACUAGGUGUGGGGAACAUUCCACGUUUUCCGCGCCGCAGCUAACGCAUUAAGUGCCCCGCCUGGGGAGUACGGCCGCAAGGCUAAAACUCAAAGGAAUUGACGGGGGCCCGCACAAGCGGCGGAGCAUGCGGAUUAAUUCGAUGCAACGCGAAGAACCUUACCAAGGCUUGACAUGUUCUCGAUCGCCGUAGAGAUACGGUUUCCCCUUUGGGGCGGGUUCACAUGGUGGUGCAUGGUGUCGUC
RNAcentral lists this ribosomal RNA (600 nucleotides) under Micrococcus luteus. RNAcentral describes it as "bacterial SSU rRNA". It matches the Rfam family "Bacterial small subunit ribosomal RNA", at positions 459 to 1056 of the family's 1533-position model. The record is from RNAcentral. Lineage: Bacteria; Bacillati; Actinomycetota; Actinomycetes; Micrococcales; Micrococcaceae.